UAGUUGACGACGUGUGUUCAGUGAAAUCGAGUAGGGCGGGACACGUGAUAUCCUGUCUGAAUAUGGGGGGACCAUCCUCCAAGGCUAAAUACUACUGACUGACCGAUAGUGAACCAGUACCGUGAGGGAAAGGCGAAAAGAACCCCUGUGAGGGGAGUGAAAUAGAACCUGAAACCGUGUACGUACAAGCAGUAGGAGCAGGCUUUGUCCUGUGACUGCGUACCUUUUGUAUAAUGGGUCAGCGACUUAUAUUCAGUGGCAAGGUUAACCAUCUAGGGGAGCCGUAGGGAAACCGAGUCUUAACUGGGCGUUCAGUCUCUGGAUAUAGACCCGAAACCAGGUGAUCUAGCCAUGGGCAGGUUGAAGGUUGAGUAACAUCAACUGGAGGACCGAACCGACUAAUGUUGAAAAAUUAGCGGAUGACUUGUGGCUAGGGGUGAAAGGCCAAUCAAACCUGGAGAUAGCUGGUUCUCCCCGAAAGCUAUUUAGGUAGCGCCUCGGACGAAUACUACUGGGGGUAGAGCACUGUUAAGGCUAGGGGGUCAUCCCGACUUACCAACCCUUUGCAAACUCCGAAUACCAGUAAGUACUAUCCGGGAGACACACGGCGGGUGCUAACGUCCGUCGUGGAGAGGGAAACAACCCAGACCGCCAGCUAAGGUCCCAAAUUACUACUAAGUGGGAAACGAUGUGGGAAGGCUCAGACAGCCAGGAUGUUGGCUUAGAAGCAGCCAUCAUUUAAAGAAAGCGUAAUAGCUCACUGGUCGAGUCGGCCUGCGCGGAAGAUGUAACGGGGCUAAGUAGUAAACCGAAGCUGCGGCAAUGCACUUUGUGCAUUGGGUAGGGGAGCGUUCUGUAAGCGGUUGAAGGUGUGUGGUAACGCAUGCUGGACGUAUCAGAAGUGCGAAUGCUGACAUGAGUAACGAUAAAGGGGGUGAAAAACCUCCUCGCCGGAAGACCAAGGGUUCCUGUCCAACGUUAAUCGGGGCAGGGUAAGUCGACCCCUAAGGCGAGGCCGAAAGGCGUAGUCGAUGGGAAACGGGUUAAUAUUCCCGUACUUCUUACAAUUGCGAUGGGGGGACGGAGAAGGCUAGGUGGGCCUGGCGACGGUUGU
RNAcentral lists this ribosomal RNA (1114 nucleotides) under Vibrio parahaemolyticus. Its description in RNAcentral is "partial 23S ribosomal RNA". It matches the Rfam family "Bacterial large subunit ribosomal RNA", at positions 382 to 1505 of the family's 2925-position model. Lineage: Bacteria; Pseudomonadati; Pseudomonadota; Gammaproteobacteria; Vibrionales; Vibrionaceae. The record is from RNAcentral.